UACAGAGGGUGCAAACGUUGUUCGGAAUUACUGGGCGUAAAGCGCGUGUAGGCUGCUCUGCAAGUCGGAUGUGAAAGCCCUGGGCUCAACCUAGGAAGUGCACUCGAAACUGCAGAGCUUGAGUCCUGGAGAGGAAGGCGGAAUUUACGGUGUAGCGGUGAAAUGCGUAGAUAUCGUAAGGAAGACCAGUGGCGAAGGCGGGUCUCUGGACAGUUCCUGACGCUGAGGCACGAAGGUCAGGGGAGCAAACGGG
This 253-nucleotide ribosomal RNA is filed under the name uncultured bacterium. Its description in RNAcentral is "partial 16S ribosomal RNA". It matches the Rfam family "Bacterial small subunit ribosomal RNA", at positions 524 to 776 of the family's 1533-position model. The record is from RNAcentral.